This 535-nucleotide ribosomal RNA is filed under the name Escherichia coli. RNAcentral's name for it is "partial 23S ribosomal RNA". It matches the Rfam family "Bacterial large subunit ribosomal RNA", at positions 1220 to 1756 of the family's 2925-position model. Lineage: Bacteria; Pseudomonadati; Pseudomonadota; Gammaproteobacteria; Enterobacterales; Enterobacteriaceae. The record is from RNAcentral.
GUUGUUGGGUAGGGGAGCGUUCUGUAAGCCUGUGAAGGUGUGCUGUGAGGCAUGCUGGAGGUAUCAGAAGUGCGAAUGCUGACAUAAGUAACGAUAAAGCGGGUGAAAAGCCCGCUCGCCGGAAGACCAAGGGUUCCUGUCCAACGUUAAUCGGGGCAGGGUGAGUCGACCCCUAAGGCGAGGCCGAAAGGCGUAGUCGAUGGGAAACAGGUUAAUAUUCCUGUACUUGGUGUUACUGCGAAGGGGGGACGGAGAAGGCUAUGUUGGCCGGGCGACGGUUGUCCCGGUUUAAGCGUGUAGGCUGGUUUUCCAGGCAAAUCCGGAAAAUCAAGGCUGAGGCGUGAUGACGAGGCACUACGGUGCUGAAGCAACAAAUGCCCUGCUUCCAGGAAAAGCCUCUAAGCAUCAGGUAACAUCAAAUCGUACCCCAAACCGACACAGGUGGUCAGGUAGAGAAUACCAAGGCGCUUGAGAGAACUCGGGUGAAGGAACUAGGCAAAAUGGUGCCGUAACUUCGGGAGAAGGCACGCUGAUA